CUUGAAUCAAAAGGAAGGAGACUGAGCCUCUCAGAGGACCAGGAACCAAGCCAAGGCUUGACAAAACCAGCCUCUCUCUCUCUGCUGUCUGGAAAGGCAGGCACUGAGAGAGAUGACCUUGGCCAGGCCAUGCAGGAAGACGGGAAAAUUGCUUACAGCUCUGACAGGAGCUGCACCCUGCAAAAAACAGCCUUUGGAUUGUUGACUCACCAAACUAGCCAGUUCGUGUUAAUGCAGCUGUGACACAGGAUGGCUUUGCUGCCUCCUAGGUGGUGAGACAAAGGGACGUGAGGAGGGGGCAAAAGGGAACGCAGAAAAAUACCUGGUUCAUGCAGACCUGUGGGAACAGCUGCCAAACAAAAAUUACUGAGGACAUUUGUGAGGGUAACUGGCGGAGAUCUUACCAGAGAUUUGAACUGUAAAGGAAAGUGGUAAAGUUUUAUUUAGGACACCCCAAGGCGGAGCUGAGCACGGUGGAAGGUCCAACUCGAUUCUCGAAUAGUAAGAGAACAAAGUAUCUGGAUACACUUCUCAUGCUCAUUCAUCCUGUGCCAUGUAAUUGGGGUUCAAAACUAGGAUGGAAAACCUAAAAAAAAAUUAUUAGUGAAUGAGGAAGUGGCAAAAGAAAAAAAAAUUUACUCAACAAAGACAAAGGUUCCUUGGGCACUUAGAAUGCACUGGGCACUGUGUUAGGGGUAUUGAGUGGACAAGAGUGAUCACCAGCUUCCAGUCCAGAGAGAAGGGCAGAUGUAGGAUAAGGAGAACCAGGAUGGACACCGAGCAGCAGGAGUUCCAUGUGUUACAAGUUCUGUCCCCAAGGGCCUCUCUGCCUGAGGGUCUCCCGCUGGGACGGCCAUCUUCGUUACCACUGCUCUACCUGCACUUGCGGCUCCCUUAUGGAAGUGGGUAUUUCUGGGCUCUGCCCUCGGAGAGUCUGCUUUCAUCUGCAUGGGGAAGGAAAUCUGUAUUUUUUUCCCCGGGCUCUCCAGGUAAUUAUGGUAAGCUGGGUCUGGAACACUUCCUCUCGUAGACUCAGGUUAGAAAGUUGCUGGGUGGUACAAAGUCCAUGCUGAGAAGGCACAGUUGAAUACAUCCUGCUCUCCUGUAGGAGAUCCUGAGUGUCCUCUCCUCUGGGAGCCAGCCUAGAUGGUGUUAGGGUCCCUCCUCUGUGCUACACUAGUGAUCUGGGCCCGCUUGCUUUAGCACAGUCUGUUAUCAUGCUGGCUUAUUCUAGGUCUCUGCCAUUAGGCUCUGAAUUCCAACAUGGCUGUUGUAUCUCACUCACCUCC
Molecule: long non-coding RNA, 1289 nt
Filed under: Homo sapiens (human)
Lineage: Eukaryota; Metazoa; Chordata; Mammalia; Primates; Hominidae
Description: non-protein coding lnc-PUS3-2:6
Source: RNAcentral